Molecule: long non-coding RNA, 475 nt
Organism: Boleophthalmus pectinirostris (great blue-spotted mudskipper)
Lineage: Eukaryota; Metazoa; Chordata; Actinopteri; Gobiiformes; Gobiidae
Exons: 3
Source: RefSeq, a predicted model, not a curated record
GGAGGCAGUCGGGGCUAUCGGUGGUUUGUGAACGCGGCGUGUGUGUUGUCUGGAGCGGGCGGUGGUGACGGCGGCUGCUCCUUACGCGCUCCCGGCUCCAUGUAGGGUACUCUCCUAGAAUCCAGGUUGAGUCGUUCACUCCCAAAAAGAAGUCAUUUUGUGUCUUGGAAUCUGCUGCACACACUCACCCAACACUGUGCAGCUUCAAUACAACAUCUGGAAAAACUUCACCAACUGGCAAAACAAAUUUGGACUUGGAACCAAAAAUGUAAAGAGUUCAUCUGCUUAUGGAGGGUUAAAGGAUCUGGUUCUCCAAAUCGUCAUUCAAGGAAUCUGGGUUUGUCCUUCCACACCUCUUGGGGCUUCAUGAGAGUUUUUCAUAAACUUGCUCAAUCUUCUCUUAUGAUGACGAUGGUCUCACUAUACUUGCAAAAUGAUGUCACAUUUUUUGGGACACCCUGUAUUUUUGAGCAAU